GAUGAACGCUGGCGGCGUGCCUAAUACAUGCAAGUCGAGCGAACGGACGAGAAGCUUGCUUCUCUGAUGUUAGCGGCGGACGGGGGAGUAACACGUGGAUAACCUACCUAUAAGACUGGGAUAACUUCGGGAAACCGGAGCUAAUACCGGAUAAUAUUUUGAACCGCAUUGUUCAAAAGUGAAAGACGGUCUUGCUGUCACUUAUAGAUGGAUCCGCGCUGCAUUAGCUAGUUGGUAAGGUAACGGCUUACCAAGGCAACGAUGCAUAGCCGACCUGAGAGGGUGAUCGGCCACACUGGAACUGAGACACGGUCCAGACUCCUACGGGACGCAGCAGUAGGGAAUCUUCCGCAAUGGGCGAAAGCCUGACGGAGCACCGACGCGUGAGUGAUAAAGGUCUUCGGAUCGUAAAACUCUGUUAUUAGGGAAGAACAUAUGUGUAAGUAACUGUGCACAUCUUGACGGUACCUAAUCAGAAAGCCACGGCUAACUACGUG
Molecule: ribosomal RNA, 497 nt
Filed under: uncultured bacterium
Lineage: Bacteria
Description: partial 16S ribosomal RNA
Rfam family: Bacterial small subunit ribosomal RNA
Source: RNAcentral